CUUCCCUGUCUUGGCAGCUGUAAAGGACCUGGCCAGAAUGUGGCUGUGACCAGGGCACACCCUGACUCCCAAGGGAGGCGGCGGCGGCCUGAGCGGGGGGCCCGAGGAGGCCAGGUGUUUUACAACAGCGAGUAUGGGGAGCUGUCGGAGCCAAGCGAGGAGGACCACUGCUCCCCGUCUGCCCGCGUGACUUUCUUCACAGACAACAGCUACUA
Molecule: long non-coding RNA, 215 nt
Filed under: Homo sapiens (human)
Lineage: Eukaryota; Metazoa; Chordata; Mammalia; Primates; Hominidae
Description: non-protein coding lnc-SCGB3A1-1:2
Source: RNAcentral